Molecule: ribosomal RNA, 545 nt
Filed under: uncultured bacterium
Lineage: Bacteria
Description: bacterial SSU rRNA
Rfam family: Bacterial small subunit ribosomal RNA
Source: RNAcentral
AUGACUGAUUAGCCGGUUGGUGAGGUAACGGCUCACCAAAGCAACGAUCAGUAGCUGGUCUGAGAGGAAGGUCCCCCACAUUGGAACUGAGACACGGUCCAAACUCCUACGGGAGGCAGCAGUGAGGAAUAUUGGUCAAUGGCCGGAAGGCUGAACCAGCCAAGUCGCGUGAGGGAAGACUGCCCUAUGGGUUGUAAACCUCUUUUAUUCGGGAAGAAUAAGUUUCACGCGUGGAACGAUGCCUGUACCGAAUGAAUAAGCAUCGGCUAACUCCGUGCCAGCAGCCGCGGUAAUACGGAGGAUGCGAGCGUUAUCCGGAUUUAUUGGGUUUAAAGGGUGCGUAGGCGGUUGAUUAAGUUAGUGGUAAAAUGUCAUGGCUAAACCUUGGCCAGCCAUUAAUACUGGUCAGCUUGAGUACAGACGAGGUAGGCGGAAUAAGUUAAGUAGCGGUGAAAUGCUUAGAUAUAACUUAGAACUCCGAUAGCGAAGGCAGCUUACCAGACUGUGACUGACGCUGAAGCACGAGAGCGUGGGUAGCGAACAGG